This 1565-nucleotide ribosomal RNA is filed under the name Staphylococcus aureus. Its description in RNAcentral is "16S ribosomal RNA". It matches the Rfam family "Bacterial small subunit ribosomal RNA". The record is from RNAcentral. Lineage: Bacteria; Bacillati; Bacillota; Bacilli; Caryophanales; Staphylococcaceae.
CAUCAUAAUUUUUAUGGAGAGUUUGAUCCUGGCUCAGGAUGAACGCUGGCGGCGUGCCUAAUACAUGCAAGUCGAGCGAACGGACGAGAAGCUUGCUUCUCUGAUGUUAGCGGCGGACGGGUGAGUAACACGUGGAUAACCUACCUAUAAGACUGGGAUAACUUCGGGAAACCGGAGCUAAUACCGGAUAAUAUUUUGAACCGCAUGGUUCAAAAGUGAAAGGCGGUCUUGCUGUCACUUAUAGAUGGAUCCGCGCUGCAUUAGCUAGUUGGUAAGGUAACGGCUUACCAAGGCAACGAUGCAUAGCCGACCUGAGAGGGUGAUCGGCCACACUGGAACUGAGACACGGUCCAGACUCCUACGGGAGGCAGCAGUAGGGAAUCUUCCGCAAUGGGCGAAAGCCUGACGGAGCAACGCCGCGUGAGUGAUGAAGGUCUUCGGAUCGUAAAACUCUGUUAUUAGGGAAGAACAUAUGUGUAAGUAACUGUGCACAUCUUGACGGUACCUAAUCAGAAAGCCACGGCUAACUACGUGCCAGCAGCCGCGGUAAUACGUAGGUGGCAAGCGUUAUCCGGAAUUAUUGGGCGUAAAGCGCGCGUAGGCGGUUUUUUAAGUCUGAUGUGAAAGCCCACGGCUCAACCGUGGAGGGUCAUUGGAAACUGGAAAACUUGAGUGCAGAAGAGGAAAGUGGAAUUCCAUGUGUAGCGGUGAAAUGCGCAGAGAUAUGGAGGAACACCAGUGGCGAAGGCGACUUUCUGGUCUGUAACUGACGCUGAUGUGCGAAAGCGUGGGGAUCAAACAGGAUUAGAUACCCUGGUAGUCCACGCCGUAAACGAUGAGUGCUAAGUGUUAGGGGGUUUCCGCCCCUUAGUGCUGCAGCUAACGCAUUAAGCACUCCGCCUGGGGAGUACGACCGCAAGGUUGAAACUCAAAGGAAUUGACGGGGACCCGCACAAGCGGUGGAGCAUGUGGUUUAAUUCGAAGCAACGCGAAGAACCUUACCAAAUCUUGACAUCCUUUGACAACUCUAGAGAUAGAGCUUUCCCCUUCGGGGGACAAAGUGACAGGUGGUGCAUGGUUGUCGUCAGCUCGUGUCGUGAGAUGUUGGGUUAAGUCCCGCAACGAGCGCAACCCUUAAGCUUAGUUGCCAUCAUUAAGUUGGGCACUCUAAGUUGACUGCCGGUGACAAACCGGAGGAAGGUGGGGAUGACGUCAAAUCAUCAUGCCCCUUAUGAUUUGGGCUACACACGUGCUACAAUGGACAAUACAAAGGGCAGCGAAACCGCGAGGUCAAGCAAAUCCCAUAAAGUUGUUCUCAGUUCGGAUUGUAGUCUGCAACUCGACUACAUGAAGCUGGAAUCGCUAGUAAUCGUAGAUCAGCAUGCUACGGUGAAUACGUUCCCGGGUCUUGUACACACCGCCCGUCACACCACGAGAGUUUGUAACACCCGAAGCCGGUGGAGUAACCUUUUAGGAGCUAGCCGUCGAAGGUGGGACAAAUGAUUGGGGUGAAGUCGUAACAAGGUAGCCGUAUCGGAAGGUGCGGCUGGAUCACCUCCUUUCUA